UACGUAGGGGGCAAGCGUUGUCCGGAUUUAUUGGGCGUAAAGAGCGUGUAGGCGGCCUGGAAGGUCAGCUGUGAAAACUCGAGGCUCAACCUCGAGACGUCGGUUGAAACCACCUGGCUAGAGUCCGGAAGAGGAGAGUGGAAUUCCCGGUGUAGCGGUGAAAUGCGCAGAUAUCGGGAGGAACACCAGUGGCGAAGGCGGCUUCCUGGCCUGUAACUGACGCUGAGACGCGAAAGCGUGGGGAGCGAACCGG
Molecule: ribosomal RNA, 253 nt
Filed under: uncultured bacterium
Lineage: Bacteria
Description: partial 16S ribosomal RNA
Rfam family: Bacterial small subunit ribosomal RNA
Source: RNAcentral